AAGAAACGAAGGAUAAGACAGAAAGUGCAUGUCAGAACAAACACUGUUGGCUUGGGUUUUGCUUUUUGGAUGAAUGGAGGGCUUCAAAGGAAAGGAAUCCCUUCUCAUCCAUACGUUCUUCUCUCUCUCUCUCUCUCUUAACUUCCUCUAUUUUUUCUACGCUAGCCAAAUACCGAUGUUGGAUUAUUCUUUUGCAGCUGCUUCUCACUCUCGGCCUCUCCGUCGGUCUAUCAAUUGUCCGAUCCCAAUCCCCACCAGCCUCUACUCCUUUCUAUAACAUCUUUUGUCCUACUUUACUCCGACCACCGUCAGAUUUCAACAAAAUUUUCUCUAUUUCUACUAGACACCGCCACUGAAUCUAAGUAAUUGUGUAAUUAAUAUUAUUUGACUGAUUCCUUGUUGGAAUGGGAUUCAAUGCUUAAACAAUUCCUUAUUGGCAUAAGAUUCACUAAUCCCUCUACUUAUCAGGCAGUGGAAGGAGCCAUCGGCACCCGUUUAAAUAUAAUAUAAAAGACCCUACUCAAUCGAAGU
This 531-nucleotide unclassified non-coding RNA is filed under the name Hevea brasiliensis (rubber tree). Lineage: Eukaryota; Viridiplantae; Streptophyta; Magnoliopsida; Malpighiales; Euphorbiaceae. The record is from RNAcentral.